This 232-nucleotide ribosomal RNA is filed under the name uncultured bacterium. Its description in RNAcentral is "partial 16S ribosomal RNA". It matches the Rfam family "Bacterial small subunit ribosomal RNA", at positions 118 to 351 of the family's 1533-position model. The record is from RNAcentral.
UGAGUAACCUGCCCCAGACUCUGGGAUAAGCACUGGAACGGUGUCUAAUACCGGAUAUGACUCCUCAUCGCAUGGUGGGGGGUGGAAAGCUUUUUGUGGUUUGGAUGGACUCGCGGCCUAUCAGCUUGUUGGUGAGGUAAUGGCUCACCAAGGCGACGACGGGUAGCCGGCCUGAGAGGGUGACCGGCCACACUGGGACUGAGACACGGCCCAGACUCCGUACGGGAGGCAG